Molecule: long non-coding RNA, 15698 nt
Filed under: Eucalyptus grandis
Lineage: Eukaryota; Viridiplantae; Streptophyta; Magnoliopsida; Myrtales; Myrtaceae
Description: long non-coding RNA (EGRA_LNC000007)
Source: RNAcentral
GGUCUGAUAAAAGUACAGCCACAUUGGAAUUCCUGGAUGCAAGUUACUGACCAUUGAUCAAUCAAGUUGGUGUGGUUCAGUUGAUGGGCAAAUUCAAGUGGCCCCUCAUUUGAUUCUCUUCUUGUCAUUUUUGAUCGAGUCUCAAUACCUUUCAUGUGGCCGGGAAGCAGGAGGCAGUGACACCGGGUGCGUCGCUUGGGAUUGAAGGGUGCAUCUGUUAAUCAUCCGGAAGUCAGAAAAUGGUGAACAUGGAAUGUAACAUAUGAUGAUUGGUCUCUAGUUUUGGGGGGAGUGUCAUGAAGUACUGGAGAAAAUUCUGUUGUAAUUACAUGGUAGUGAGGGCUUAUGCUUUGUUUGGGUUCUUGUUUCCUCUUUCCUUUUUUCCCCCCAAAGUGACUUUCCGGUUUUAGUUCUUGCCCUGUGAUGGCUUUAGCUUUACUGUGUUCUGUAAAUUACAUUUACGGUUUCAUAGCGACUUUUUGAUAAUGUGUUGUGGUUGUUCCUUUCACCAAAGAAAACACUGCAAGCAGGCGCAAUCAAAGCUACAUGUGCAGCAUUUUGGAUUAUAACUUUUGACUUCUUUUCAUGGAAUAAGUAAAACGUGUGAACGCUCUUUGAUGUUCAUACACGGUUGUAGAUCAUUUUCAACGACGGGGAAAGACGGAACACACAGGUCAACAACUUCUUCAUCGCGAAAGGUAAUGAUUGUGGCUCUGAGAAUUGGUCAGAAUGAAUCCAGAAACAAAGUGGUGGUCAACUUUGGACUUUUGCAGUGAGGAUGUUUCCUUGGACUUUAGCCUGGGACGAUAAUGUGGGAAGCUUCUUUUAUGAAACGGUCUCUCUUGAAUUCGAAUGCCCACGUUGAAAAUGAGUAUGGCUCAUCAAAGAUUGCGGUUUUGACUUUAUGAAACCCCUGAACCAUUCCCAUCUGAUUGCUUAACGAUCCUCCUUUCUCUCUGUCUAAUUUCAGCAGCACGAUUGCCGUGUAAAGGACGAGAUAGCGAUUCCACCUGACCCGCUACUGCAUGUUCACCCUAGCGGCGAUCUGGGCGAUUGAUCCCUCUGAACCCGAUUCGAGAACAGGAGCCGAAAUAGUGAUUCUACAAGGUGCGAUUAGCGAAAUGCACUUGGUCAGAUAUUGAAUCCUGCCAAAGCAAUCUAAGCCUCUCUGGCUGAUUAAAGGUUCAUGAACUAGUUUAAGCAAGUCAAGCAUUUUGAAGAACAAAAACACAAUUUUGACCAGUUCAAGUCUAGACCCGCCUGUUCAAAAAAAAAAAAAAAAAAGUCUAGACCCGCCACUCAUUUAUAUCUAGAAUGACGCGCCGCAGUCAAACACUCAAAAAGUGAACGCCACUAUUAAAGUUCACAUUUUCAAAUAUUUAGAUUUUCCGUUCAAAAAAAAAAAAGAUUUUUAUUCUCUUUCCGUGUUGCACGGUCCAAAUUGGCUGAAUUUGAAGCUCAUGCAAGUUGCAAAUUGCCCUCAUCCAUCACUAUAAAUAUACCAGCCCCACCUUAUCAAAACUACACUUUCAAGCCACCAUCAUUCCUUCCUUCAGAAAAGAUGACAACUCUCAAGCUCAGGAAGCUCCUCCUGACCGCCGUCGCGGUUGCUGGGAUCAUCAUUUCUGCCCUGCCCGACACCACCUCGGCCCAGAACUGCGGGUGCGCAGCCGACCAGUGCUGCAGCCGGUGGGGCUACUGCGGCACGGGGGAUGACUACUGUGGGACGGGAUGCCAGGAAGGCCCAUGCAACGCGCCGCCGCCGACGAACGACGUGGUCGUGGCGGAUGUGGUGACGGAGGCCUUCUUCGACGGGAUAAUCGGGCAGGCCGCCGAGAGCUGCGAAGGGAAGGGCUUCUACUCGCGAGGAACGUUCCUUGAGGCUGCCGGGAGUUACCCUCAGUUCGGCAGGGUCGGGAGUGUCGACGAUUCGAAGCGGGAGAUAGCUGCUUUUUUCGCUCAUGUCACUCAUGAAACUGGACGUAAGUUAUCCCUCUUAAUCACUUAAUGAAUCAAAUUACGAGCAGAACGUGAUCAGAAAAUUGCUGCUUGUGGAUGUGCAGAUUUUUGCUACAUAAACGAGAUAGAUGGAGCUUCAAAGGACUACUGUGAUGAGACAAACACCCAGUACCCGUGCAGCCCGAACAAGGGUUACUACGGCCGCGGCCCGAUCCAGCUCUCCUGGAACUUCAACUAUGGUCCGGCCGGAGAGAGCAUCGGGUUCGACGGGCUCAACUCCCCCGACACCGUGGCCACCGACCCGCUGAUCUCCUUCAAGACUGCUCUGUGGUACUGGAUGAACUUCGUCCGACCAGUCAUAGACCAAGGGUUCGGAGCCACCAUCAGAGCCAUCAACGGCGCACUCGAAUGCGACGGCGGGAACCCCGCCACCGUCCAGGCCCGGGUCCAGUACUACACCGAGUACUGCAGCCAACUUGGGGUCGCUCCCGGAGAUAAUCUCACUUGCUAGCCGGAGUAGACUGUACGUGAAAUCAAGUUGUGCAUGUGGAACGCCAAUUAGAAGUAGUUUUCGGGUGUAUUCAUUGUAUCAAUAAUGCGCACAACAAAUGAAAAAGGGAAAGAAGAUGAGGACUUCAUGGAGAAAAAUGGAAAUAAAGUAGCAAGUUCAAUAUUUUGUUCAAUUCACGAGACAUUAAUACAUCGUCUGCUUAUUUAGGUACUCUAUAUUUUGUUCGAUAAUGAUAUGGACACGACUAAGCUUAAGGGAAACACAAUUAAUUAAAUUGAAAUAAGGACAUGAAGUGGAGUUGUUUUAUGAAAAGAGGGCCAAGAGUGAAUCUUAUUUUAAAUAAGGGUGUCAAAUGAACAAGUUACUCUCGAGUCUCAAGUAAGAGCCCAAACUCAGCUAGAGGACUAUCGAUUACAUCUAAAUUUUAGCAUCCCUCUAAUGUCUUUCAUUUCGACCAAGGUGAGUUUCCUAAAUUGACGCAACUGAUCUUUCGCUCACCCAAGAGAGGGCGAUUGCAGCCUAUUGAAACUAACACACUGACAAGGUGUGGGCAUAUAAUCGUGGAAUACCAUGCCGAUGGUAGAGAUGACGGUGAUGGUAGGAGGAAAGUUUUUUCUAGCGUUGCUUGGGAUUGUUUGGUUGAAUUUGUAGAUGCAUUUUGUCUCAUUUUGUGUAAGUCGAUGCAUGUGAGUCGCAUUUUUUUUAAUGACAAGUGGUAUACACUGUGCAUUUUCUAAUUGGACUAUCGCCCUGAUCCUUGCUUUUAAGAUUUUCAUUUUCAUGCCAAUCGAUGAAAUCUUUCUUUAAUUUUAUUUUUUUUCCUUUUCUAAUUGGACCUCAUUUCUAGAUGGUCGCCUUCGCCGAAGUACUCUAGCCAUGAACUCUUGGACAUGCUGGGUUGGCGCUCCGGAGGAUCGCGACCGGAGGUUGGACUGUCUGUCCUAGGGCCUGAAUGUUGGGGACCGGUCACUUCGUUCAUCGACCGUCCUGAAUACAUAUGUUCCGCUGUUUAUCUAAAUCGAACCCCGACUACAUCGCUUUGGUGUUUGUAGCUUUACCGGUCACAGCGCCGGGCUCGCUCGGCGGAGCCGAGGAUGAUUGAUCCUUGUUGUCGCGGCCGUUUUGCACUGAGUGCUAACCUUUUGAUGGAUUACUUAGGAUUAAUCGGAGGCGGGUUUCCUAAAAUGGGCAUGAUCGUUAAAUGAAAUUUUCAUUCUUACGCAUGCCGACCGACGUGAACUAGCCGUGUGAAUUGAUGUAUGAAUGGCCCGCCAACACUUGGUCCAUGAUCUUGGUUUUGGUCCGACGAUGGAAAAACUAGAUUUGCAUUCCUCCAUAGGUUGAUAGUAAGUACUGAUAUUGAGUGUGUGUGAGAUUGGAAUCCUCCUCCGAUUCCGUUGUGCACAGCCUGAACCUCUCCUUAGUCAUUGUCGCUCUUUUGUCGACUCUCGAGACCCUCCUGCCUGUGCUCCCUUUAUUUUCAUACAGAGAGAGAGAGAGAUCGAGACCCCCCUGCCUGUGUUCCCUAAAUUUUGACGAUUUAGUUUAUUUAUUUAUUACAUAGGAAAUUAGGGGUUAAAUUUUAUUAAUUGCAUAGCAUAUAGAUUUAUAUUUGCAUUUUAUCUAUUGGACCGGUGGCGGAUGAAUUCGAAUUUAGAUGGAUCAGGCCCACGAAGCGAGCAGGUUGGCCCAAGCCCGCAUUUCUUUUAAUAAUUAAAAAUUAUCUCAUGGGAAUAUAAUAUUUUGAAAAUUUUCCGGGAUAUGAAUAUUUUGGAUAAGAGCACAUGUGUGAAAAAAUAUUGCGAUUUAUCUUUGCGAGAUUUGGAUUUCGAGAAAAUACUCAUCGUAAUCUUAAAUCUUUAUCAAUAGUGAUCGGUUGGUGAAAAUGUAUCGCGAAUGUAGAUUUGAAGGGGAAAUCGAAAGCUUAUCUCUUACCCCCUGUAAAAGCAACCGUGUACGAUGACUGGAUGAAGCUUCUUUUAAAAAAAUUCAGAAAAAGUGAAAGGGGAGAGAAGCCAUCCGUGGAGGAGAAAGGGAAAAAAAAGGAAAAGUCAGAACGUGAGAGAGAGAAAGGAAAAAAAAAGGAAAAGUCAGAACGUGAGAGAGAGAGAGAGGAGAAAAGGUAAAGUGAAAAGGGGGUGAUUUGACCCCUACUGUUCAUCGUCUCCCCCAACUUGCUGCCCACGUUGCUGCUCCAUCCGUGACGCUCGUUGCAGCUCCAUCCGCACUGCUCAGAGCUCCUUCGUCUCGCCACGCUGCAGGACGUGUGUGCGACCACCACCGCUCCUCGCCUUCCACGAAGCCCGACGCCCUCCUCCGCUUUUCGCCGGUAAUCGAUCCGCUCAACGUCGCCUGCUGUUACUCGGAGCCGACUCGUGUGCCCUGCUCUGAGUACUGCCCGUGCCCCAAAAUCGCGACGCCACUGGAGCCCCAAAUCAGUCGUACCGCCGAGCCGAUUUGCCCUCUGUUCGCGAUCUGCCUGCAACCCGCGCUGGUCCGAGAUCUACCGUCUUGCCCCGCCGCGCCUCCUUCGCCCGUGCCGCCCCUAUCUCGCCUGACCCGUGACCAGCUGUGCCUGCUGCCGCCCUUGCCGGAGUUCCCCUUCGCCGGACCGAUUGACCCGCUGCCCUUGGAGACCCACGGUUACAAGCAGGAAAAGAAAAACAAAAAAAGAAAAGGAAAGGGAAAUUAGGUUGUUUUAUUCUUUUUCUAUUUACUUUAUUUUAUUUAUUUCUUUUAAGUUUAGGAGUGAUAUUUAUUUCAUGGAUUUUGUAGGCAUUAUCCAUAGGGUCUUCCCUAAAAUUAUCGUAAUUAUUAAUUUGAUCCGUAAGAUGUCGGAUCAUUUUUUUUUAUUAUAUUAACUUUUGGGGUUUGUUGAUAGUGUUUUAAGUGCUGAAUCAAUGUAAUUAUUAAUUUGAUCCGUAAGAAUUCGGAUCAGAUUUUUAGUUAUUUUGAAUUUCUUGUUGUGAUAAUUAGGGUUAUAAUAAUCGUUAAUUUGACCUGUGAGACAACAGGUUAUCUUUUCGAUUAUUUUGAUCCUUUAUUUGAUUGAAUAUCUUGAUUGGUUAGAUUUAGUUGAUAAUUGUUUUUUUUUUAAAAAACCACUAAAAAAUCUAAAAAAUACUUGAAUUAGGAUUCAAUUUGUUUUAGAAUAUUUUUCGCUAUCUUGCAUAUCUAGAAUAGGGAUUUUAUUCCAAAUUUAUAAAAUAUAAAAAAAAAAAAAAAAAAAAAAAAACAAGAAGGCACAUUCAUUUAGGUUGUUAGUUUUAUCAUUAUUUGAAUUGCAUGUGAAAUUUUAAUUUCGAAAUUAAUAAAAAAAAAAACACAAAGAAUCAUCAUGCAUAUAUCAUGUUGAAUUAGGGCAUUCUUUACACGUCAUCGCAUAUUAAAUAAAUUGCAUGUUUAGAUUAAGAUAAUAUCUUAGUCUAAGUUAGGAUUUAAUGUGACUUGAUCCUUAGUUUAAAUUAGAUAGAAUUUUAAUCUAGCUAGAUCAUUUUUGCAUUUUUAAAUAGAAAUAUCAAAUGCAUGUCAUGUAGGUUCAUUUAAUUAGAACUUACUCGUAAUUAGACUAAAUCAUUUAAUAAAUGUCGCAUGACAUAUAACUCGCGUGCUAAAUUAUAUGCGGCAUGUCAUCUUAGUUUAAAUAAUUUUGUAUGUCAUUGCAUCGCAUUGCAUGUCAUUAGAAUUAGGUCAUUUAGAUGGCAUUUAAUUAUUGCAUUUCUUCAUGUCAUAUAGUUUAGGUCAUGCUGCCAUGUCAUCUUAGAUGCAUUGCAUAAGUCAUGAUUUUCAUUAAAUAAAAUGAAAACAAAAAUUGAAAUUGCGUGUUAAUUAGAAAUCAUAUAUAGGGCUGCUGAUGUGAAUUCUAAUUUAACGAUGCAGAUGCUUUCGUUGCUCCUAGGUAUGUUUUGCAAUAUUUAAUUGCUUUCUUGAGUGUUAAAUUGGUGGUAUGCGCACAUGUAUGAUCACCUCACAUGUUAGGAAGUUAGUUUAAAAUCAAUUCAAUUGCCAAACAUUUUUGAAAAUAAAAAGAAUGGUACCGAAAGGGCAUUAGAGAAAUCUAAUGUAAUCAAGUCCCCGUACCCUUAGUCUCUGGUUCGUAGGAGUAACGUAAUUCUCCCAUUAUUUUACUUAGGUGUCUAAUCGACCUACCAUAAACUGAUUAGUGACGACUCCUAAAUGAAAUCAAUUUGCAUGUUAAGAAUUCAAACCUAAGUCGCGAAUUGGUAUGGGCUUGGGAGAGCCCGAGUUAAGUUUAGGCUUAACAAUCCAUUAGCCAAACUCUAGGUGGUUCAUAACCCGAAAAAUUGGUCGCGACAGCUUGGCGACUCCGCUGGGGACUUGUAUUAAAACACUUAGUGGACUUAGGCCAAUUUUUCUUUUUAAAAAAUAUUUUUGUUUGGCAGCGAGGAUCUCAGGUAUGUCCCUAACAUUUCUAUCCCUAACAUUUCUAAGGUGUUAAAUGUUUUUGCAUAUGGGAGGUAUAAGGGGAGUAGUCUUUGCUAACCCCUGUCUUGCAGGUUGGAGUUAGGGAUGAAUGUUUGAAUUAAAACUAUAGAAGUGUUGUUUGCAUUUAAACUGUUGUGCAUGCUUUAUUGCUUUAGCACCACACUAUUUGCACACACAACCUGCGGUCGGACCUGGGCUGCGAUAAGAUUUCUAGGAUGGUGUUGAGAAGGAUACUUCCUCCAAAGCGAGACUGCUAUGUAGAGGUUGACCUUCUCUUCCCCGAAAUUUCUUUCAUGGUGUCAAAUGUGUUUGUCCAUAUCCGCGAGACUGCGUGAUUAUUGGGUAUUCCAUUCGACUGAGCCGGGGUUAGGAGGACCUGACACGUUAAUGCGAGACUGCAACGGUCAGACCAUCCUCUUAGCUCCACCUUGCUAAGCCUGUCUAGAGUAGAAAUCGAUCCUCACAUCUCAUGUGCAUGUCUAUGUGAUUGCCAUCGAUUUUCCUUGGUGAAGUAAAGCCUCACUUUGCAAUUUACUUACUUUAUUGCAGUUUUGUCCGUCCAUGACAAUUUAGGUUAAUCAUUGAUUUAAUUCCUUUGUCAAUUAGGAAUGAAAUGAGGAAAUAAAUUGUCAUACAAUGAAUCAUUUGGAAAAUAAAAAAUGGAAAUUUGUUUUCAAUUUAUGUUUUGGCUCUUCCUAGUUCAUAUUUAGGAAAUUUUAUCCCUACUGGAGCAUCCCAUGUCUUUGUCUUCCUAGUCUAUUUUUUUGAAAAUCCUUUUCAUGUGGACUUUUCUUAACUAAAAAAUAGAUUGUUGUCAUGGAUUGAUUUUCUCAGUAUACCUCGUUCUUACAUAUCUCCAUUUUCCUUAGGUGAUCAAGAACUAGAAUGGUUGACCAAACCGAAAUGCGUGAUCGUAUCUCCGCUAUGGAAGACCAACUCCGACAGUUGCUCGCCUCUAUGCAAUUCAUGACAGCUCAAAUCCAAUCACUCCGAACGGAUUUGACUCCUGCACCUGCUCUCCUUGAGACAGUAGUUCUGAAGCAGUCGGGCAAGACCCAAAUGAGCAAUGGCGACAUGGCUGACCUGGAAGAUGACCCACUGUUGGUCGCUGCCGAAAAAACUAAACUUGACAAUGUCCCUAAGAUGGGGCAAGAUGAAGUGGAAGUGAUGGACACUCUAGGGCAGCCUAGUGGUAAGUUUGAUUACCUGGUGAAGUAUUCGGCUCCUCCCAGCUUUUACUUUGACUCCCGCAACAUAAUUCCAAGUGGAUGGGAUGAUGGACGAUCUGACGUCUCCAAAGACAAAGAACUCUGAUGACACCUUGGAAGGAAUCACAGGUCUGUUCGAUGACCUCUUCACAGGAGCCAAUGACGAAGGACCUUCGGAAGACAUGGACGUUAGCUUGCAAGAGUAACUUGCUCGGUUGCAUCUUCCCCUGCGUGGGAAUUCUUAUUGCUUUUUAGGAAUUAGUUUUCCCUUUUUAGGAAUUGUUUUCGAUUUUUUCUCUUUUUAGGGGUUAGGAAUCACAAUUUCCAUUCCAAUAAUGUAAUUCAUUUGAUGAAAUUACAAUUUUAUUUCCAAAUUUGAGGACAUGAUGGGGUAUACCAAACCGGUCCAAUGACGAUAUCCAACCAUGAAAAAGAAAAAUAUCAUACAUGGAGAAAUCCUGAGGGCUGGACUUUUUCAUGUUUCCUCCCAAAAACCUUUUCGAAAACAAAAAAAAAAUUCCCAAAACUUGUAGCAGAUUAAACUUGUUUGUUUGUCUGACUCAUUUGCUUCUUGUCUCAGAACAUGAUUCUAUAACUUUAUGACAAGGGACAUCUGAGAAUGGCGUAUCAAGUCUCAAUGAUCAUAAACUUGACUUGUGAUCAACAGGUUUAGAGCGCACUUGUAAUGAAAAAGAUUUGGGGCAAGUAAAAGAUGACCAUCAUUCCCUGGUGGAGGAGAUGACCAAUUUGGGACAUAACAGAUUUUGGUAGUGAUCCGACUGGGAUAAAGUCUCAACUCGAGCCAAAAUGGAUGUGCAAUUUGAAUUUACUUUGAUGUUGCAUAGUAUUAUCCUGAUGCACAUUCUCUUGUGCAGGGUCAAAAGUGGAUUUUCAGUCUUGAAUGAUAGGAACAAUCUAAAGACAUCAACUGCUGAGGCAAUUCCCAUUGUAGAGGAAUCCUUGAAUGAAUGCUUAAAACCAUUUUGCAGUAUAGAAAACUGUUUGAAGUUGACAUGCUUAAAGCUGUUGAGUUCUUUUUAAAAAGGGUUUUGCAUGUUGACUCUUACAUGUUUUAUCCAUCAAUUCCACUAAAGAAUAUCAAGAUGGACUAAUUUAAUGAAUGAUGUGGAAUUGAUUAAGCAUACUAAAUGAGAUGAGUCGGGAUGAUGAAAGGCAAACCCUAUCCUAUACACAGUCCCAUGUUCAUACACUUGUGAGAUGAGUGUAGGAAGGUUCAUAUCCAUAAGGUAAAGAGUUCUCUCGCAAAAGGUACGGCAACCGAAAUGAUGAGAGGCAAUUCAUAUCUCUAUCCCAAACACUACAGGUGAUCCGUUGCUUAACCCUUUUUGAGCCCAUACACUUAUGGAUCUUCUUUUCAAAUCACCCCUGUCAAGAAUCACCCCACAUUGGGGCAACUAAGAGAUAAAAUUGCAUCAUGAGGUGAGUAAAAUGAAUUGAAAUUUUCUUGCUCUCACUUGCAUCAAUCUUCUUGUCUUGCUAUUACAUUGAAUUCAUGUGUUAAUUUAAGUGCCUUAGGAUGAUGAAGAGCAUUUCUUUCUCUAUCCCAUACACUUAUAUCCUUUGCAUAGCCCAUUUGAGCCUGCAAUUUUAUUUCUUUAAAUCCAGUUGGUGAUCAUCCCCCACACUGGGGCAAGGCAAAAGCCAAAUGAGGACCUUUGAAAGUUCAAGUGCCAUUCAAAGAGCAUUUCUUUCUCUAUCCCAUACACUUAUAUCCUUUGCAUAGCCCAUUUGAGCCUGCAAUUUUAUUUCUUUAAAUCCAGUUGGUGAUCAUCCCCCACACUGGGGCAAGGCAAAAGCCAAAUGAGAAAAAAAUGCAUGAGAGCUAUGGGCAUAAAAAGUGGUGUGCUUGGUAAAAGCAAAGUCAAUGCCCAUAGAUGAAAAAAAAGAGAGUCAAGAUAGGUGACUGUCAACUACAAGUAUCGAAUCCCAAUGGAGCAAUAGUCAAAGAACUCAAAUGCUGAGUUUUUGCAAUCAAUGGGACUUCAUAAAGGCAAUCCCCAAUGGUGAAAAAGAAAACUGGUGGCAAUGCCAAGAUGAUCAUCAACUCAAACCUUUUACACACAUUUUGAGCCUAAUGAUCCUUUCAUUUCUCAACCCAUGAACCCAACCUACGUUACGUCCCUUACAAAGUCUCUUCAGAUUAGGGCAUUUGAAUUAACGUAAGAGUUCAUAUGUUUAUAAGCAUCGCUCGAAGAAGUGCGAGCAAGAUUAUUUCUUUUUCAUUUUGCAGGGUUCUUGACUUGUAAACCCGGAGAUGAUUACAAGACAGUUCAUUCAAUAGCUUUGACUCAAAUAGUCAUUUUGUUAAGCCGUUGACCAAGCCACAUUAUGGUCCUUGUUAAAGACCUCUCAAAUUGGUAAAAUUGUACCGCUUGCGAGAAUACUCGGACCCAUGUCGAUAUGAUAAAAUUGAGUGAUUCUCAUAAAAUAGCUAUUCUAAAUGAGAGUGAGUGAAAGUCCUUUCUAACCGAAAGUCUCUCAUUUAGUAUUCUUAAGAAAUCCAUGUUAUGAGUGAAGAUUGUCUUAAAUGAUAAUUCUCUCCAGUGGAAAUUUGGGUGAUACAAAUGUCAUUAUGCAUAAACCUUGAUUGAGUUGAUAAAAACCUCACUGAAUUUUGAAAUGUGCAUUCUAGAGUAGCUUAGAUUGUCUAUCUCUUUGAUGAAUGCAUAUCAGUUUUUGCUCUAAUUCAUGUCUGACAAGUAAUUCAAGUUCCUUUCAGAAUGUUUCAUGAUAUUAGAAGAUGAGAAACCUCCACCAGGAGGUGAAAGACCUCCACAGGAUAUCCAAAUUCCAAAAAGACAUAUCCCCAAGAAUCAGAGAUAUCAUCAGGUAAGUAUAUCUUUACCAUACUCUAAAAUACUUGUCAUUGUGCAGGUAUUCUCUCUCAAGUACAUCGACACUUGACUUGGUCAAGUUGUCCAAUUAUAUCGACCUGGCGUGCUUUCGUAGCCCAGAGUCAUUUCCAUCGACUCGGCGUGCUUCCAUAGCCCGAUGUCGCCUUUAAUAGACCCGGCGUGCUUCUGUAACCCGGAGUUCUUGACCUGGUGUGCUUUUGUAGCCCAGAGUCCCUUUAAUAGACCCGGCGUGCUUUUGUAGCCCGGUGUCCUUCAUAUUGACCUGGCGUGCUUUCGUAGCCUAGAGUCAUUUUCAUUGACUCGGCAUGCUUCCGUAGCCCGAUGUCUCUUUCUUGACCUGGUGUGCUUUCGUAGCCCAGAGUUCCCCUCUUUAUUGACCCGGCGUGCUUUCGUAGCCCGGUGUCCUUUAUAUUGACCUGGCGUGCUUUCGUAGCCCAGAGUCCCUCUUUAUCGACUCGGCGUGCUUUUGUAGCCCGAUGUCCCUUUAUAUCGACCUAGCGUGCUGUCAUAACCCAGAGUCCCUUUUGAAAACACCGACACUCGACUGAGUUGUCCCCCAAAGAGUUCUCCCCAGAUUCAAUCUGAUUAAGGCGACCGAAGAAUGGUUCGGGUCCUGGUCGGAUGAUUUCUGUCACAAGGCUGGGCGACCGAAGAAUGGUUCGGGUCCUAGCCAAGCAAAACCCCGUUUAGGCGACCGUAGAAUGGUACGGGUCCUAGACAUCAUUUAUUGCUCUAAAAGGCGACCGUAGAAUGGUACGGGUCCUAGAAAAGCAAUUUCCCCGUUUAGGUGACCGUAGAAUGGUACGGGUCCUAGACAAAACAUAUUUCCCUAUUCAGGCGACCGUAGAAUGGUACGGGUCCUGGAAGGUAAAUCCCCGUUUAGGCGAUCGUAGAAUGGUACGGGUCCUAGACAUCAUUUAUUGCUCUAACAGGCGACCGUAGAAUGGUACGGGUCCUAGAAAAGCAAUUUCUCCGUUUAGGCGACCGUAGAAUGGUACGGGUCCUAGACAAAACCUAUUUCCCUAUUCAGGCGACUGUAGAAUGGUACGGGUCCUGGAAAAUGAAUCCCCGUUUAGGCGACCGUAGAAUGAUACGGGUCCUAGACAAAACCUUUCUGUUGUACUAGGCGACCGUAGAAUGGUACGGGUCCUGGGAAAGCAGAGUUCCUUACAAAAUAUUUCUGCCGUAUUGGGCGACCGUGGAAUGGUACGGGUCCUGAGAAAGCAGCUCAUUUUUGCCAUACUGGGCGACCGUAGAAUGAUACGGGUCCUGGGAAAGCAGCAUCUUCACAAAGUCAUGUUACUAUUCUAGGCGACCGUAGAAUGGUACGGGUCCUGGACAAGUAACACCCACUACCUCGAAUUAUUCUAUCCUCCUCGAAGGUAAGUUAUUUCAGGUAGGUACAUCUAUCAUUUGCAUUAGCAUUUCCAUGCAUCAUAUAAAUUGCAUUAAAAAAUGGAAUUCAUUUUCCGAAAAAAAAUCAUCCAUUGCAUACACAUAACCAAAAUUUAGGUCUCAAAUUAUCUUUGAAGGCAACCUCUUCGAGCUCACCUUCAAAGAGGGGCAGCUGUUGACACCUAAAUUUUGACGAUUUAGUUUAUUUAUUUAUUACAUAGGAAAUUAGGGGUUAAAUUUUAUUAAUUGCAUAGCAUAUAGAUUUAUAUUUGCAUUUUAUCUAUUGGACCAGUGGCGGAUGAAUUCGAAUUUAGAUGGAUCAGGCCCACGAAGCGAGCAGGUUGGCCCAAGCCCGCGUUUCUUUUAAUAAUUAAAAAUUAUCUCAUGGGAAUAUAAUAUUUUGAAAAUUUUUCGGGAUAUGAAUAUUUUGGAUAAGAGCACAUGUGUGAAAAAAUAUUGCGAUUUAUCUUUGCGAGAUUUGGAUUUCGAGAAAAUACUCAUCGUAAUCUUAAAUCUUUAUCAAUAGUGAUCGGUUGGUGAAAAUGUAUCGCGAAUGUAGAUUUGAAGGGGAAAUCGAAAGCUUAUCUCUUACCCCCUGUAAAAGCAACCGUGUACGAUGACUGGAUGAAGCUUCUUUUAAAAAAAUUCAGAAAAAGUGAAAGGGGAGAGAAGCCAUCCGUGGAGGAGAAAGGGAAAAAAAAGGAAAAGUCAGAACGUGAGAGAGAGAAAGGAAAAAAAAAGGAAAAGUCAGAACGUGAGAGAGAGAAAGGAAAAAAAAAAGGAAAAGUCAGAACGUGAGAGAGAGAAAGGAAAAAAUCCCCCAACUUGCUGCCCACGUUGCUGCUCCAUCCGUGACGCUCGUUGCAGCUCCAUCCGCACUGCUCAGAGCUCCUUCGUCUCGCCACGCUGCAGGACGUGUGUGCGACCACCACCGCUCCUCGCCUUCCACGAAGCCCGACGCCCUCCUCCGCUUUUCGCCGGUAAUCGAUCCGCUCAACGUCGCCUGCUGUUACUCGGAGCCGACUCGUGUGCCCUGCUCUGAGUACUGCCCGUGCCCCAAAAUCGCGACGCCACUGGAGCCCCAAAUCAGUCGUACCGCCGAGCCGAUUUGCCCUCUGUUCGCGAUCUGCCUGCAACCCGCGCUGGUCCGAGAUCUACCGUCUUGCCCCGCCGCGCCUCCUUCGCCCGUGCCGCCCCUAUCUCGCCUGACCCGUGACCAGCUGUGCCUGCUGCCGCCCUUGCCGGAGUUCCCCUUCGCCGGACCGAUUGACCCGCUGCCCUUGGAGACCCACGGUUACAAGCAGGAAAAGAAAAACAAAAAAAGAAAAGGAAAGGGAAAUUAGGUUGUUUUAUUCUUUUUCUAUUUACUUUAUUUUAUUUAUUUCUUUUAAGUUUAGGAGUGAUAUUUAUUUCAUGGAUUUUGUAGGCAUUAUCCAUAGGGUCUUCCCUAAAAUUAUCGUAAUUACUAAUUUGAUCCGUAAGAUGUCGGAUCAUUUUUUUAAUUAUAUUAACUUUUGGAGUUUGUUGAUAGUGUUUUAAGUGCUAAAUCAAUGUAAUUAUUAAUUUGAUCCGUAAGAAUUCGGAUCAGAUUUUUAGUUAUUUUGAAUUUCUUGUUGUGAUAAUUAGGGUUAUAAUAAUCGUUAAUUUGACCUGUGAGACAACAGGUUAUUUUUUCGAUUAUUUUGAUCCUUUAUUUGAUUGAAUAUCUUGAUUGGUUAGAUUUAGUUGAUAAUUGUUUUUUUUUAAAAAAACCACUAAAAAAUCUAAAAAAUACUUGAAUUAGGAUUCAAUUUGUUUUAGAAUAUUUUUUGCUAUCUUGCAUAUCUAGAAUAGGGAUUUUAUUCCAAAUUUAUAAAAUAUAAAAAAAAAAAAAAAAAAAAACAAGAAGGCACAUUCAUUUAGGUUGUUAGUUUUAUCAUUAUUUGAAUUGCAUGUGAAAUUUUAAUUUCGAAAUUAAUAAAAAAAAAACACAAAGAAUCAUCAUGCAUAUAUCAUGUUGAAUUAGGGCAUUCUUUACACGUCAUCGCAUAUUAAAUAAAUUGCAUGUUUAGAUUAAGAUAAUAUCUUAGUCUAAGUUAGGAUUUAAUGUGACUUGAUCCUUAGUUUAAAUUAGAUAGAAUUUUAAUCUAGCUAGAUCAUUUUUGCAUUUUUAAAUAGAAAUAUCAAAUGCAUGUCAUGUAGGUUCAUUUAAUUAGAACUUACUCGUAAUUAGACUAAAUCAUUUAAUAAAUGUCGCAUGACAUAUAACUCGCGUGCUAAAUUAUAUGCGGCAUGUCAUCUUAGUUUAAAUAAUUUUGUAUGUCAUUGCAUCGCAUUGCAUGUCAUUAGAAUUAGGUCAUUUAGAUGGCAUUUAAUUAUUGCAUUUCUUCAUGUCAUAUAGUUUAGGUCAUGCUGCCAUGUCAUCUUAGAUGCAUUGCAUAAGUCAUGAUUUUCAUUAAAUAAAAUGAAAACAAAAAUUGAAAUUGCGUGUUAAUUAGAAAUCAUAUCUAGGGCUGCUGAUGUGAAUUCUAAUUUAACGAUGCAGAUGCUUUCGUUGCUCCUAGGUAUGUUUUGCAAUAUUUAAUUGCUUUCUUGAGUGUUAAAUUGGUGGUAUGCGCACAUGUAUGAUCACCUCACAUGUUAGGAAGUUAGUUUAAAAUCAAUUCAAUUGCCAAACAUUUUUGAAAAUAAAAAGAAUGGUACCGAAAGGGCAUUAGAGAAAUCUAAUGUAAUCAAGUCCCCGUACCCUUAGUCUCUGGUUCGUAGGAGUAACGUAAUUCUCCCAUUAUUUUACUUAGGUGUCUAAUCGACCUACUAUAAACUGAUUAGUGGCGACUCCUAAAUGAAAUCAAUUUGCAUGUUAAGAAUUCAAACCUAAGUCGCGAAUUGGUAUGGGCUUGGGAGAGCCCGAGUUAAGUUUAGGCUUAACAAUCCAUUAGCCAAACUCUAGGUGGUUCAUAACCCAAAAAAUUGGUCGCGACACUGACCAUCUCGAUCGAUCAAGUUGGUGUGGUUCAGUUGAUGGGCAAAUUCAAGUGGCCCCUCAUUUGGUUCUCUUCUCAUCAUUUUUUAUCAAGUCUCAAUACCUUUCAUGUGGCCGGGAAGCAGGAAGCAGUGACACCGGGUGCGUCGCUUGGUAUUGAAGGGUGCAUCUGUUAAUCAUCCGGAGCUCAUAAAAUGGUGAACAUGGAAUGUAACAUAUGAUGAUUGGUCUCUAGUUUUGGGGGGAUUGUCAUGAAGUACUGGAGAAAAUUCUGUUGUAAUUACAUGAUAGCGAGGGCUUAUGCUUUGUUUGGGUUCUUGUUUCCUCUUUCCUUUUUUUUU